AGGGGGUCUCCUCAGUCUCGGAUUGGUCGGCGGGGAGUUAGGAAGUUAAUUAGAAGUGAGCAAAUGAUGGUACACGAGAUGUUCCAGGUUGUAAAUUAUGGUAGCCCAGAUCAGAGAUUGCUUUCUCUGAAACAGAUUGAAUUCCAACCUUGGAAUAACCCCACAUACAAGGUUGAUGACAAGAUAGAGUUGCUCUGUCAGGAUAGUGGCAUCAGAGGUUGCUGGUUCAGGUGCACAGUUGUGCAGGUAGCCCGGAAACAGUUGAAAGUUCAAUAUGAUGAUGUUCAGGAUGAAGAUGGAAGUGGAAAUCUUCAGGUAUAAUUAAUCUCUUGAGGUCUUCUAACUUCAUUUUUUUAUAUUAGUACUUGGUGCUAUGUUUAAAUAUGUACAUAAUUAGUGGGUGUUUCUGUUAUGGUUUUGUCAUGACCACAAGUUAUUUGAAGUGAUAAAAUGUUAAUUAUUUCUUGUAUUUUGAGUUUAAAGAAAAUUUCAUAAGGUGAUGGAAUAAUGGGUUUCUGUAAAUUAGAUGCCAUCUAGUUUAGGCUUAAUAUGGAAUAUAGACAUGCUGGACUAAUCAUGGAUCUAAUACUCAACUCAAAUAAAUUAUUCUCAGUUUUAAGGAUCUACUGCUUAAAAUUUCUCUUUUCUUCAAAACUAAAUGGACUCUCAUCAGAGUAACUGUUCUGGAGUUAAUUUUGAAACAAUUUGCUUGAUCUCUUCUCCUAAGUAAUGCUCUCUACGAAUACAGGAGGUUAUUUAGAUGCACAUUUUACAUGGAAAUUUGAUUUUUCUUAGCUCAGUGCAAGAAAUUCAUUUUUUUUUUUUAAUUUUAAGACUAGAGAGUAAUGGGAUGACCAAUGAUAGUGAGAAUGUGGACAGGGACAGACCGAAGUACAAUGAAAAUGGGGCAAUUGCCCCCCCCCCCCCCUUCUCCCCAAAAGAGAAAAAAAUUCUUCAUUAGUCAAAAAAUACCUACUCGAAGUAGCCAUUGUUGAUUUUACGUUAUGUGUUAAACUUUCACCCCCUGGAAUGCAAAGUCAAAAAAUAUGAUAUGGUUUAUGGAUGCCAAACAAUUUAUGUGGGAAAAUAAAGUUAUGGCACCUAAGAUAAAACAAAAUAUUCCGAAGAAUAGAUUUUAUAGAUUCCCUUAAUGAAUUUAUACUAUUUACACCCCACUCACUCUUGAAUUAAAAACUUCUAUCUUGAUCCUCUCAAUCUUUUAGGAGUGGAUCCCUGCUUUCAAGUUGGCCAAGCCUGAUAAACUUGGGAUGAGACAUUCUGACCGGCCCACCAUCAGGCCAGCUCCAACUCAUGAGGAACAAGAACUGGCUGUCGAGGUCGGAGCUGCAGUUGAUGCAUGGUGGAGUGAUGGCUGGUGGGAGGGGGUUGUAAUUAGAAUUGACGACUCUAGUGGUGAUAGUGUUCAAGUCUACUUUUCAGGUAUGCUGUUUUAAUGUUAUUUUCUAGCUUCUAUAAAUUAUUCACACUUCACCAUUUUGUGAUACAAGUAAUUUUGGUGGUACCAGGUGAAUGCUUGCUUAUGAAAAUGCACAAGAAGGACUUGCGAAUAUCUAGAGAUUGGUUAGGAGACAAGUGGAUUGAUAUUAAGGCAAAGCCUGAUAUAACCUCAACUAUAUUUACAGCUGAUAGUUUUAACUCAAAGCAUCCCUUGUCACAGUCUAUGGUUAAGGAUGGGGACUCUGUUGGUGUCGCUAAUUCAUGUCAAGACGUUCUUUCUAGUAAGAAGUCUAACGAACCUGAUAUUGCUGAAGAGAAACUUGUGUGUUGUGAUGGCUUUGCUGAAGAUGGGGAUUGUGUCGGUGAUAAUAAUAGAGAAAAAAAUGCACAAGUUGAUAAUGUUGAGACGCGUAGCAGUUGUGAUAAUGAAGAUAAUGGUGAUGAUAAUGGCAAGGGUGUCAAUGAUGAUGGUCGUAGUAAUGAGAACAUUAGUGAUGAUAAUAAGGAUAUGGAGGUGAGUGGUACUUCUGAACCAACUGUAGAACAUCAUGCAUAAACAUAUGAUAUGAUGGUGCUGGUUGUAGAGUUUUGCCAUCAUCUCUUUGCUUUGUUGUGAUCUUUGUCUGAUGUUUAGUGUGAUAGAAUGUAAAUAGUAGUUACACAGGAAUGUUGGGAAGCUGAUUGAUUUUUUAACUUUAGUCUCCUUCAUAGAUGUACAGUGUUAAGUGUAAUGUCCAAGGUUGUGUUAUCAUCCUUUCCAUUGGUUGUAUUAGGAAGAUUUCUUUAUAUUACUAUUGAGUAAUAUUGAGUAAUUCCACUCGUUAUAUGACUAGUAUCAUUUAUGAGCAAGCAUAUUUAAAGUUCAUAAAAGCACUAUUUUUUUCUGGUUUGUGUAACUCACAGGGUAGCCAAAUGCUGCAAUGAAUGACGAUCAUUUUUUUUUCAAAGGACAAAUCUCUCAUAUCUUAAUUGUUUUUUAAUAACAUAGAGAGAGAUCUAUUUGAUUAAUAUAAGUUUAUUAUCAAGAGAAAUAAUAUAAAUAUUAUCUUGACAUGAGAUGAAAUCAUGCUAUCAUUAAGAAUUUAUUCGUCCAACACAUUGAGGAGAGGAUACGGAGAAAAAAAAAUAAAAAAGAAGGAAUAACUUCAAGAAGAUUGUGUGCUCUAAUUGUUAGUGGAUCUUUAAGAGAUAUGGUUAAUUAUAUCGAUAAUUUGCUUGAAUUCUUAUUAAUUUUUUGUAUUUAGAAACUAAUUAUUAAUUUAAUUUUAGAGGAAGAAUACAAAUACUCGUAGUUUGAAUGUAUAGGGAUUUGAAAUAGUUUGGUGCAAUCUUUUCUGGAAUCGAAAUAAUACUAUUUUUUCCUGUCAAAAAAAAAGAAAUAAUACUAUUUUUUGUGCAAAAGAUUGAAAAUAUCUCUGAAACAACUUUUGAAUUUAAAUUUUUAUAAAUAAAAAAUAUUUUCAAAAAAAAAAUCAUAUAUCGAACAGGAUUUCUUAUAAUGUUUUCUAAAAUUCAAAAUUGUUUAAAAAUCCAGAAAUCAAACAACCUCCAAAUCAAUCUAAUCCUUCUUUGAAAAAAGAAAAUAUCUAAUCCUUUUUUUGUUUUGUUUUUUAUUUUUUUGGUGAAUCUUUUUUGUUUUGGUUGCACUUGGAAAAGAAAUGUAAUCUUUUUUUUUUUUUUGAAAUAGAAAUGUAAUCUAAAUCUAAAGCAAAAUAUACAUCGUAAAAAUGAACACUAUAAUAAUCUAAUCUAAAUCUUUUUUUACAUAAUCUAAUCUAAAUCUAAAUAUAAAUUCAUAACAAAUCUCAAACUUCCCUAUAAAUAACAUUACAUUGCAUUUUUUUAGUUUUUCUAAAACUUACUAAGACCUCAAAUCCCCUCUAUUGCUUAAUGGCUUCUUUUCAAAAAAAAUCCCUGUUUUUCCACUCCCUGUCCUUCAUCUUCAUUGUCCCUUCCAUUGCACAAACCUGCAAUUCAUACACUUUCCCCAACCACAUCACCUAUGCCGCAUGCAACAAUCUACCAACCUUAGAAUCAUCACUUCAUUGGAACUACCACCCAUCCACACGCACAGUUGAUGUAGCAUUCAAGAAAUCGAAUGCAGGAGACUCUAGUUGGAUCGCUUGGGCCAUCAACCCUACUUCAAAGGGUAUGGUGGGUUCACAAGCAUUCGUUGCGUUUCGAAAAUCUGAUGGAAGUUUCAGGGCCUACACUUCACCCAUUACCAGUUACGCGACUCUAUUGCAAGAGGGUCAACUCAGCUUCCCUGUUCACAGUGUUUCAGGAACUUAUGCGAAUGGAAGCAUGCUCAUCUUUGCCAGUCUGCGACUUCCAGAGAACACAACCGUGGUGAAUCAUGUUUGGCAAGAAGGGUUGGUGUCUGAUGAUGGGACUCUGAAAGCUCAUGCUAUGGCAGGAUCUAAUCUUCAGUCUUUUGGAACCUUGGAUUUUGUUUCCGGGAAAGUUGAAGAAACUGGAUCAAAAGUGAACUCUAAAAGAACCACACUCAGAAAUGUAAGAACGAAUUCCUCUGUUUUACUCGUAGUUCUUUAUUUUUUAUUUGUUACAUGAUUUACAAAAACCAAUUCGUUUUCUCUUUACUUUUACGUUAAAAAUUUGUAAACACCUUUUCAUUAUUUUUAACUUUUUGUAAGAAUAUAUUUUGAUACUAACCAAUUUUUGUUUACAAAAAAGACGUUUAAUUUCGUUCUUAAAAAAAUGGAUGAAUUUAUCUAGAUUCUCAUUAUUAGUUGAAACUUUGAAUUUACUUUGCAUGAUAACUAACAUUUUGUUGUCAUAACAGGCACAUGGAAUUUUGAAUGUCAUAAGCUGGGGAAUACUAAUGCCAAUUGGGGUAAUCUUUGCUAUCUGCUUGAAGGCAUUUGAUGGUGUAGGACCUACAUGGUUUCAUUUGCAUCGAGCAUGUCAAUCUCUAGCAUUCUUGAUGGGCAUUGCUGGCUUUGGCACUGGUUUGUUCAUGGGAAAUCACUAUGGAGUUCAUCAUGGUCCUCAUAGAUGCAUUGGAAUCACUCUAGUUGUUCUAGCAUCGGCUCAAGUUUGUGUUGCUAUAUUCUUCAGGCCUAAGAAUGAUCACAGGAACAGAAUAUUUUGGAACAUUUUUCACUACGCAAUUGGCUAUUCAACAAUUGUCUUAUCGAUUUUGAAUAUCUUCAAAGGCUUUGACAUUCUCCAUGCCCAUAUGAUGUGGAAGAAAAUCUAUCUUGGGAUAAUCAUAUCCCUGGCCGUGAUUGCUCUGAUGUUGCAGAUUUGGUGGUGCAAGAAGAGGUUCAACUCUAAGGAAAGUGAUGACACCAACCAAGAGAUUCCCUUAGUUUAGUGUCUGGAUGAUCUUAGUCCCCAUAGUUUUUUUCCCUGAAUGUGAAUUUCUUAAUUUUGUAAUAGUAUUCGCAUGUUAAAGUGUUUCAAUCUGAAUUCCUUAAUAUUGAAUCUUAAUCUAUCAUCGACUCGAGUUCCAGACAGUAUGAGAAUGGACAUUCAUGUUUCUACCCACGUCAGUAUAAAAAUUGGUACAAAUACUUUUUAAAAACGCUGGUAUAAAAAUGGUUACUAUCGUACCCUACUUAUUCUCAUCCCCUAAAAAGAGGUGAGAAAAAAUAUCAACUUAAUAAAAAAAAUGGUAAUAUGUGAUGAAACAAAUAUAUGUUUUCUCCAUACACUGACUCACAUAAAGUUGAGACCUUAUUAAGGUUUAUCAAUCAUCUGCUACUUGAAGCAAUCACUUAUACUCUUAUACUUACGGUUGGAGUGUACUUUUAUUAAAUUGAAUAUUGAAUAUAUAAAGUAGUUAAAUCAUUGCCAUUUUUUAUACAUUUAAAAAUAAAAACAGAAGAAAAAAGAAGGCUAUUUUGUUCGUAGUACUCAAUGAUCCGACCCGAACCACGAAUGAUUCUCGGUUCAAGUUUGUUUGUUUUUUUUUUUGGAUAAGCCACUGGAUAACCCCCAACUCAGAUCUCGCUCGCACUCGUCUCUCAUAAUUCUCUUCUCAUAAUGGCGGUCUCUUCUUUCUCUGCAGCAAUUGUGCCUUCUCUUUCCCUCUCCAAUUCUUCACCCAAGCCAAAGUUCCCAUCUCUAUCUUUUCUCUCUGGUAACACCUUGAGGCUCACAACCCUAAAACCUCUACACUCAUCAACUGUGCUAAAAGCUGCUCCAGAAGUGUUGGAUUCCACAGAAACCCUUGAAGAUGACUCUGAAUCAAGCACCUUUCAGGUUUCUGCAUUUUUUUUAUACUGUUUUGGAUAAAUUAGUAUAGCUGUUGAUGAGAUAUCUUGGUGUUGUAGGUUGGUGACUUGGGGACUCCUAGCACUUCGUCUAUUAGCAUUGGGGGUGAUGCAGAUGCGGUAUGUUUUCAAUUGCUGGUUGAUAUUUGUUUCAUUUUGGGGUUUCAAUUUAUCUUUGAGUGACAUAGGCUCAUAUUCCAAACGUUAUCCACUAAAAGUCAUUGAAUGAAUUUUAAAUAGGAGAUGGUUGGACAUUUUAAUUUGUAAAUUGUGCUCGGUAAGUAAGAUAAAUUGGGCCUGUGGACUUACCGGAGAACAUUUUUCUUGUUCUGGACAAUAGAUUACACAUGAAAAAUAACUAUUCUCCAGUAUCCACAACAUUUGGGCCAGUGGACUUAGCGUGAACUAUCAUUUUGUAGGAACACAUAAAAAGGCAUGACAUAAUGAAUUACUUUAUGAAGUUAUGAUGGCAUUAUGGUAUUAUUGGAUUUUACCUUCUCCUUUGUGAUAUGUGACAUUUAAGUAUUAUGUGAUUUUGAAAUUUUUGAGUAUUUUCUCAAUGUUGUAGUUGUUGAAUAAUGUAUAUUUUAGUGUGUUGAAUAUCGAUGUGUUCUAAAUCAUGCAAUAUGAUAUACAAUCCACCUCUCAGAAAGUUUAACAAAUUAUCCUUGAUACAAUUGAUGAUAUGAUUAUGAGUAUAAAACCAGUUAACUUUCCAUGAUGCUUGAAGAUUAUAGAUGUGUACUUCUCUUGUGAAUCCUGAUAAUGAGUAGAAUGGUUGUCGGUGUUCAAUUUUUUUAAUCUGCAUUCAUGAAACAGGGGCUAAGGCCCCCAUAGUCUUGGGAAUGUUUCCUUCCUUAUGAGUGUGGUUAAACAUGAUCUCCCAUGUAUGGUUUUCAGAUACCACAAGUUUGUUGUAGUUUCUUUUGCCGUACAGGUAAAGUUGUUGAGAAAAGUAAUAGCAGCAUGAGGAUCCAUUUGAUCAAUUAUCUCUUUUGAUUUUAAGCAUUGUUUUGCCUUGUUAUAAUUAACAAUUCAUGAACUGCUAUUGUUUUCUAUGUAUGCUCAUUAAAUCAAAUUAUCUGAUAAUUUUGCUUGUUCCCCCAUGCAUAGAUGGCACCGAAGCAGAAAAUCAGAAUCAAGCUUAGAUCUUACUGGGUGCCUUUGAUAGAGGAUUCCUGCAAACAGAUAUUGGAUGCAGCAAGGAAUACCAAUGCAAAAACAAUGGGUCCUGUGCCAUUACCAACAAAGAAACGGAUUUACUGUGUUCUGAAAUCCCCUCACGUUCACAAGGAUGCUCGGUUCCAUUUCGAGAUCAGAACUCAUCAGCGCCUCAUUGAUAUUCUAUAUCCUACAGCUCAAACUAUAGAUUCCUUGAUGCAACUUGAUCUUCCUGCUGGUGUUGAUGUGGAGGUCAAGCUCUAGAGAUACUGCUUUUCAGGUUGCUAAAAAACCAUCUUGAAUCUGAGUGAUAGAUAUCCUGUUAGUGCAUAGAUAUUUGUAUAACAUUUACAAUGUGUUGUAAUUCUGAGACGACAGAUCACCAUUUUGUUUUCUGGUUAAUUAUGCAUAUGUAUGAAUUAUUUUGAUUGAUAUGCAAAGCUGUGUAGGGUGUUAUUCUGUUGAGCUUUUACUUAAUAGAGGGACUGAAUGGUUUAUUUGUCAGGCUUUCCUUUACAAUUUGGCCUUGAUAAAUUAUUGUUGAUUUUUCUUGGUUGGUACUUUCAUAUCUUAUAUCUCUAGAAAUAAAGUGGGAAGAGUGAGUCAAAAGAAUAAAGUUAUAAUUCUUACUUGAAACAGAAACACAAAGACUCUUUUCAGCAAACUAGGUUGUUCAUUAGUUCUAGAAAUACUUAAUUUCUAGUAAGAAAGUACUGCUAUCAAUCCUAUCAUCAUCCUGUACCUGACACCAAACAAGAAAAUAUUAUUUCAUCCCUGUUCUGUAAAUCCAUUCAGCACCCUCAGAUUGUUUUAUCAAAGUAUCAACAGUUGCUUACUUUGACUUCAAUACAAGAUCAGUUUUUUUUGAAAUGCAAUACAAGAUCAGUUACUACUUUUAUAAUGGAAGAUUACAAUGAAGAAGUUCAAAAUCAGAAAGAAAAGCACAUUCAUACAAAGACUGAGCAAUGACAAUCUUAAAAAUAUUGGCACUGUAAUAGGUAUAUCGUGGUAGUGAAUGAAAGUUUCCUAGUAAGUUUUCAAAUUAAUUAGGGCCUGUAUUUUUUGCACGCAAAUUUUGUUGUGUUGGAUUAUUGGUUUGUUGGAGAUUUGGAGAGUUGAAGUAUUUUUUUAACUUUGAAAUGAUGGAUGCUAAUGUAAUUGGAUGAUGGAAAAUUGUGUGUUAGUUUGCUAGUUGCUAACUGACCGAUACUUUUGUGAGGGACGGCCGCAUGGAUGAUCCAUCAGAUAAAAGAGAGAAGGAUGAAAAGAGAGUGUUAAAGUGAUCGUUACUAUCACUCCUUGUUGCACUGAGUAGUUUGCUCUUGGAAUGUCAAAUGGAUUAAGUAUAAUGAUAUGUUCUACUAUGAGUAUGAGUAUUGAGAUGACAUUUUUUUUUGGUAAGUGUUUGUUUCACGGAUUGGAAAAUGAUACCCGGAAAUCUUGUUCCCGGGAAUGUUAUGAUGGAAAUGUUAUUCCCAGACAUCUUUAAAAAAUUCAUUUGGUUCACAAAAUCAGUUUCUGGGAAUCUUUUUUAAUAUUCCUGGGUAUAAUUAUAAUAUAUGUUUGGUUCAAAAUGUAUAUUCCUGGGAAUAGAUAGUAAAAUUCUUAAAAUACCCUUCGCGGUAAAAGACAUGGGUAGUGGGUAGUUGGAAGUGGGUAGUGGGUAGUGGCAAUUCAGAGAUUUCACAGCAAAAAUCUCAUUCCCGGAUUCAACUUACCCACCUCUCCAUCAUGGGAAUGAGAAAUGCUUCUGGAUGGGCAUAUGACUUACCCAGGAAUGAAAGAUACCCGGGAAUAUUUUUUUCAAACCUGCUACCAAACACUGGAAUGUAGAUUCCGGCCCAAACAUUCCCGGGAAUCCUUUUCCAAUGCGUGAAACAAACGCCCACCUUUUUUUCUUGGUCUUAUUUUUGUUUCCUUAUUUUUCAAAAAAAUUAACUUUUGAUUUUCACUUUUUUUUUUGACGGGAACUAGAUAUGUUAUUUGGUCCUCAAUGAUUUUUCUUAAAUUCAGUAACCAAAAAAAAAUUCAGCCCUUCAAUUUUAAAAUUAUUAUACUUAAGAUCAUCUAUCACAUUUAAUCUGGUUGAAACACACAAACUUACAUUUUUGAAUUGAAAUAUUUAUAAAUUAAAUUAAUUAAGUAAUCUUUCACUGAAAAUCACCGUUUAAAUUCACCCGAAAUAAAAAUCCAAAAAAAAUCACUAUUUAAAUACUAAUUUCAUGUCAUAUAAGACCUUUCAAAAUUCAAAGCUUAUAGAAAAAUCACUAAUUUUUAAGUCUUAAAAUUAUUUAAUAUAUCUCAAAAUCAUCAUAAAACCUAAAUAUUUGAAUAGAAAAUUGAUAAAUAGAUCAAAUGACAUAGUUUUGAAGUAGAGACUAAAAGGACUACCUUGGUCAAGACAAAAAAAAAAGAACUCAAGUAAGUAACAAAAAUUAGGAGAUCAAAUUUACACUUAAUCCAAACUAAAAAAAUAAUGAUUAUACAUUCACAAUGUAAAUAAGUUCUGAAACAUGGUCUGCAAUUGGUGUGGGAGAGAGGAUACAAGAAGGUUAUUUGUAAUGUGGAUUGCGAGGGUCUUCUACAAGCCUUGGAAGAUGAAGAAAGCAAACUUUUCCUCCCAGCUCUGAAUGAUAUUCGAGAACUGCUGGGGCGAAGUUGGUCUGUGGCGUUGAGCAACAUUGGUAGAGUAGAGAUUGUAACGAACUGGCGGAUUUGUUGGCUAAGAGAGGGGCUUCUUCUCCGAAUAAUGCCUGAUGUAUGUUGCAGGACCCUCAUGGGAUUUAGAGAUCCUCAUUCUUAAGGAUCGUUAAGCUAGCUUGUAGUUUUCGUUGUCUUUUAAUUUUUCGAUGUAUAAAAAAAUGUAAAUGUAAAUAAAUUCUACAUAAAUAUCAAAUUAAGUUUGACAAUUUUAUCGUGAUUAAAUUAAAAUUAUAAGACUAUAUAGAUGGCCAAAGCUAAAAAAUGUUGGUACAUGGUUUGCUACAGCCUACAAUACAUGGCUCACACUCGUCUCUUCCAACACCACCAUUCUCUUCCACUGUGAGUAUCAUUCAUUCAUUCAUUCUCUGUAUCUCUAUGCAUGUCUCUGUGUGUGUGUUCAAUCUAAUGGCGGUUUCUCUCUCUCUUCUGUUUCGAUGAUUAUGUGUUUGAGUGCUCACACUUCACUCUCUCUUAUUAAGAUCCAAAAGUGCUUUAAUCGAUUGAAACUAAGUAUCGCAUCUCAUGUGUUUGCUUAACCUAGAAGAACCAGCUUCAACUGCUUAGUGUGCUCUUCAUUUCGGUAGAUUUGUGUUGUUUUCUUCAGAGUGAAUUGCUGCGUGUGUGUGUGUGUGUGUUUUUGACACCAAAUCUAUGUCCUGGACAGUCACACGGUCGCGUGCUUUUAACUUUUUAUUGAAUGUGAAAUUUCCUAGACUUGAUUUACGCCUUUGAUAAAAUUUACUAUUUAUAAAAUGUUAUCAAAUGGUGUUGUUGUAAGCAUACUGAGACUUGUACUUGUUAUUGUGGGAUGUGAAAGGAGCAAAUUAUGACAAUGGUUAAUAUAUAAGCUGUUUUUAUGUAAUUUUCCAGUCAAACACUCUUUUCACUCAGAAGAAGCUACUCGUCUUAUUUGAUAUGCCCCAUAAUCCAUAGCAAAUCACCAUUGACAUAGCCUAAGUGGGUCACCAUUGACUGUAUAACAUUUAAAAGAACAAUAUAAUUCAGCCUAAGAUAUCUACAGGGGAGGUGCAUCCUUAGGUUGACGGGGCUGUUUAUGUCUAUUUUAUUCUAAAUGGAGCUUUUUUUGUUAUUACUACCUUCAAAUUUGGCUUAUCCCCUUACUACUAGCAUAGCUUCUCACUGUAUUGUGUAGAACAUGAUAUGGAUACCUCUUUUGUGAUUGAUUGUAUUGUAUGACAGACUGACUCACAGUGUGUAUUUCUUUAUUCAGGUGACCGCAUUUGAAUUUUCAUAAUGGCUGUAAGUUACUUGCUACUAAUUUUGUAAUUUUUCCUUCCUUUGAGAAUUCUUUCUUUCUUGUUUUGAUAAGCCAUUGAGAAUUUUUUGUGUGGUAAAUGCUAUAGAUUGAGAGAAUUUUUAAAGAUGAAGCCAGUGAAGAAAAAGGAGAGCGUGCCAGAAUGGUGAGCUUGUUAUGAUUUCUGUUUUACCCUGGCUCGUUAUGAUUAAUAUACUUCUGAUCUGUAUUAGCAAAUAUUUUAAAUCAUUUUUCUUCUUAUUUGAGUCUGAGGAAGGUUUGUUAGCUUUAGCUAUAUGUGUUGUGUGAUUUGGUUUUCUGCAGGCAUCUUUUGUUGGAGCCAUGGCUAUUGCUGAUUUGGUGAAGACUACCUUAGAGCCAAAGGGAAUGGUAAAAUCUCCUCUUCACUCAUUAAAUGUGCUGAUAAACGAUUUAUCUUUCACUCCUACGUCCUAAAUAAUUGAUAUAUCUUGGAUGGGAAAACUGCAGGAUAAAAUUUUGCAGUCAACAGGUAGAGGACGUGAAGUUACAGUCACUAAUGACGGUGCUACAAUCUUAAAGUCCCUCCAUAUUGAUAACGCAGCUGCUAAAGUCCUUGUGGGUAUCCUUAUCAUUUGUAUUAAUGUGGUUAAAGCAGCUUAGAAAUUAUAGAAUGGUACAGGAUUUUGGUGAGCUAUUAUGAAAUGCCUGUGCUUGUUUUUUAGGGCCUUGAAACUAAAGUAAUAUUUAACUGUAAAAAUUUCAAUAUACAAUAAUUACAAAAUGGGAAGUUUUGUCACAUACUUAUAAAAAAUGGGAAGAUGGGUAUUUGGAACACAAAUUUUGUGUUAUGCGAGAACAAAGAAGACAAUGUUUCAAUUUUAGUUUUCUUAAUUAUGAAUUCUGACAGUUACUAGACUUUCUGCUGGCAGUCUAUUAUGAAAUUCAAAGUUUAUUUAUAAGAACGUUGACAUCCAGAACUUUCAGUGACUAGCCUUGGGUUAUAUUUGGGCUUAGGUUGGGGACGGAACAACCUCUGUUGUUGUAUUGGCUGGGGAACUUCUUAGGGAGGCAGAAAAGCUGGUUGCAGCUAAAGAUUUAUCCCAUGACCAUAGUAUCAGGUUCAUUUCUUUCCUUUUCCCCACAAUGGUCCAACUGCCCUUAUGAUGCAAAUUUUGUUGCGUUUUUGUGUAGACAGGUUUCUAGUGACAACUUUAGUGAUUCGUAUGCUGUGUGUUAGGAUGUUUACCUCAUUAGUAAUUACAUUGGUACAGGAAGCAACACAUUCCUUAUCAUGCAUCCAUUAGUAAAUUUUAUUUUGCAUAGAAGACCGCUCUUUGGUCUCUUAAAAUUUUUCAUUGUUCCUUUGAAUGUUAAUGUAGAGCAAAUGAUUGUAAAAACUUUUUAAUGUAAAAUGGUUAUCUAUUCCAUCUUUGUAUUUAAAUUAAGGACAGUUUAUUGAUGGAUGUGAUUGAAGGGUGGUAACCAAAGCAGUCAAUAAAAUUUCCAUUUUCAAUGCAUUGUUAUCGUUCCAAGGCUGCCCCAUCUUUACUUUACUUUGGUUUUGUUGUUAGUGUACUCUUCCUGCUUUCAGAAAGAUGAAUAAAAAAGGAUAAGAAAUCAAGGGAAGCAUUAGAAAGGUGAAAUAUGAAAGUUUUAUAGUGAUGCUUUGAGAACCAUUUACAAUUCUGAUGGGUUUUGUAAUUUGCAUGUAACCAUGUGUCAUGAAUUUACUAUCCCAAAAGUUUAAGCUACUAGGUGAAAGAACACAUGAAUGGUUUAUAUUAUAUUUUUUAACAUGCCUUCUUCUAGCAAGAGUCUUUUAGACUUGAAGUGUGGACAUUGCACUGACUGAUAGAAUCCAGAAAAUGAAUAGUGUUUUAUUCAAAAGAACCCUAAUUCCCAAAGAGAAAGAUACAGAAUUUCCUUGAGAGAGAGACCAAACACUCUCCCUAAACCCGUACUCCAAUUGAUUCCUAAAAGAUACCUCAUACUCUCAUUAACCAUCUUAAUUAUAGACUCACUCUCUAACUAACUCCCAUCCCCAGCUAACUAACUAUUUACCCCUAAUAGCCACUAACCGUGAGUGCCUAUCAAUGACCCAUCCACCUAAGUUACUAAUUAUCCUAAAAAGUUAAAUUGUUGGAUGAAAACACAUGACUGAGCAUGAAUUGUGCUCGUAAUGCCAUAUGGCAUAGGGGCUAAGAUACCACUUGAUGAGCUAAUUAUCCUAAACGGUUUAAUUGUUGGGUGAAAACACAUGAAUUGUUUGUAUUAUAUUCUCAGCAUGAAUAUUGCCCUCCCCUUAUUUUCUUAGCUGGUUUCAAAUGAUUUAGUUUCCAACAUUUUCUUUUGAUUAAUAUGAGUGUAUUUGAUAUUAGCGGUUAUGAUUUUUAGAUUUCCGAAUGGCAGCUGAGUGUGCUCUUAAUGCAUUGUUACAAAAGGUUAAGGACAACAAAGCAGAUUCUGGUAAUUGUUUUAUCUUUUGGAUAGUGUGUUUUUGGGUUUUUAUCAUUCGCUUUUGGCCUUUGAAUUCAUUGUUAUUAUCAUCAAUUCAUCAUCAUCAUUUUUGUUUACAGCAGCGCAGUGUUGAAUGCUUAAUGUAGAAGGCUUAAUGUCUGAUGGAGUGGUGGAUUGCUUUUGGAGUCUCCAGUGACAUCUAUGGUGGGAUGAGAUGAGGAGAUGAUAGAGUGGAAGCAGAAAUAUGAGGGGGUGCUAUGAUGGAAUGGGAAGUGAGAGGAGGUGAUGAAAUGGUUUUGGUCCCUCAUUUUACUAUCAGAUUUGGUUUUGGUUUACAAUUUUUAUGGUUUUGGUUUACAAUUUUUAUGGUUUUGGACUUUCAAUUCUCUCUCAAUACCUGAGAACGACAUCCACAUUGCCACGUUUCUAUAACAAUUCUAUGUGGUCUGUUUUGGUGUCAAGUCGCAUUUGAUAAUUAAGUUUUUUAAUAAAUAAAAAACCAAAAACAAUAUUUUACAUAUUAAAUCUGGCUUGACAUCAAAAAUAGGUCACGUAGGAUUACUGAUGACGUGACCCUCUAUUUGCUCCAUUACCACAAAGACCAUGUGUUAGCAAUUUAGUAUCACCGGUAAUAGUGAGAUAUUAAAUGGAAUAAUUUUUGGUUCAUACUCCAUUUUCACUCACACUAGGAUGAGAAAACUCACUUCUGGUCGUAUCGGAUGACCAUCAUGAUAUCUAGAUAACUUUGGAUCAUUUAGCAUGUUAAUUAGAAGUGAGCAAAUGAUGGUACACGAGAUGUUCCAAGUUGUAAAUUAUGGUAGCCCAGAUCAGAGAUGCUUUCUCUGAAACAGAUUGAAUUUCAACCUUGGAAUAACCCCACAUACAAGGUUGAUGACAAGAUAGAGUUGCUCUGUCAGGAUAGUGGCA
This 14181-nucleotide long non-coding RNA is filed under the name Lotus japonicus. Its description in RNAcentral is "long non-coding RNA (LJAP_LNC002159)". Lineage: Eukaryota; Viridiplantae; Streptophyta; Magnoliopsida; Fabales; Fabaceae. The record is from RNAcentral.